AUUGAACGCUGGCGGUAUGCUUUACACAUGCAAGUCGAACGGAUUAAAGAGCUUGCUCUUUAGUUAGUGGCGAACGGGUGAGUAAUAUAUCGGAACAUAUCCGGAAGUGGGGGAUAACGUAGCGAAAGUUACGCUAAUACCGCAUAUGCCCUGAGGGGGAAAGGGGGGGAUCGCAAGACCUCUCGCUUUCGGAGUGGCCGAUAUCGGAUUAGCUAGUAGGUGAGGUAAAGGCUCACCUAGGCGACGAUCCGUAGCUGGUCUGAGAGGACGACCAGCCACACUGGAACUGAGACACGGUCCAGACUCCUACGGGAGGCGGCAGUGGGGAAUUUUGGACAAUGGGCGAAAGCCUGAUCCAGCCAUACCGCGUGAGUGAAGAAGGCCUUCGGGUUGUAAAGCUCUUUCAGCCGGAAAGAAAUCGCACUUGGCUGACGGUACCUUGCGAAUAAGGGGUUGCUAACUCUGU
This 466-nucleotide ribosomal RNA is filed under the name uncultured bacterium. Its description in RNAcentral is "bacterial SSU rRNA". It matches the Rfam family "Bacterial small subunit ribosomal RNA", at positions 30 to 506 of the family's 1533-position model. The record is from RNAcentral.